Molecule: ribosomal RNA, 279 nt
Filed under: uncultured bacterium
Lineage: Bacteria
Description: partial 16S ribosomal RNA
Rfam family: Bacterial small subunit ribosomal RNA
Source: RNAcentral
UGCCAGCAGCCGCGGUAAUACGGAGGGUGCAAGCGUUGUUCGGAUUUAUUGGGCGUAAAGCGCGCGCAGGCGGGUAAUUAAGUCAGGUGUGAAAUCUCGGGGCUCAACUCCGAAACUGCGCCUGAAACUGGUUACCUAGAAUACCGGAGGGGAAAGGGGAAUUUCUCGUGUAGGGGUAAAAUCCGUAGAGAUGAGAAGGAACACCUGAGGCGAAGGCGCCUUUCUGGACGGUUAUUGACGCUGAGGCGCGAAAGUGUAGGGAGCAAACAGGAUUAGAUA